Momordica charantia (bitter melon) is the source of this 1203-nucleotide non-coding RNA. Lineage: Eukaryota; Viridiplantae; Streptophyta; Magnoliopsida; Cucurbitales; Cucurbitaceae. The record is from RefSeq and is a predicted model, not a curated record.
CCCGCUUCACGGUAGCAUUGCACAGUCUUCUAUCAAUAUCGUUCCAUCACUCUCUCUACUGAUUCUUGCAAUGCCUGUGGAAGAGUUGCAGACAAAUGCAACAGUUCCAACUACUGGCUAUGGAGUUUAUUUAUUUAUUUUACUGGGCAUUGAUCAGCGCCCGCUGUUCGGAGCUCGCUUCAGAAGUGCUGCUAAUUGGUCUUGUACGCUCUCAACGCCGAUGUUCUUAUUCCUUCUUUGUUCACAUAUAUUUCAAAUUGACUAUAAUUCUUUAGCCUACUGCUGAGAACAAAACAUGAAUUUAGAUUCACUUUCCUUGAAGUCUUCUACCUGUCUCAAAAUCUUCUCGCGCUUUCCAAUUGUUAUGAUCAAAUUUCCUAUUAGAAAAAUGAUUGAAUCUAACACGAAUCUGGACUUCUUUUUGGCACAGCCAGUUGUUAGCUUCUACAUUACAAUCCUUAUUGGCUUCCUGUUGUUUUCCCCCUUGCUCAAGUCUUUAAUCGUACUCUUUUUCGUCAUAUUAUUUUCUCCGUAAAUGGUGAGGAACAUUUUUCUAGUUACCACUUCUGUGAAUCAGCACCAUGUAGCUUCUGCUGGGGAAGGAUUGUUAGCUUAAUUAUGCGAUGCCAAGUGUGAAGAAAAUGGUAGCACUAUCUUGCAUUUCUGGCUGUGGCUGAUAAAGGAGCAAUUGCCGAUUGGUGCAGUGCAGAUGUACAUGCCGAGCUUUUGUUUUCUCCAAUGCCCGAAUUUAGCGAGGGGGAUUCUUCAAGAAGCGUCUACUGGAGAAUUUGUUUUGUAGAACAAAGACAAUCUGCUUUAGCACUUGUGUUCUAAACAAAUCAUUUCUUUUGAUUCCUGCUAACCGAGUUCUAAUUGGUGGCCUGUGUCCCAAAUUUUUAAUCACCAGCCUGGGAAAGCCACAGGUCAUUUAGCACGCCAGCGAAUAUGGGGGAGUAAGUGGGAGGUUUUAUAUUCCCUGCUUUGAGCAAAGUUGAAUCGUCAUCCUCCCAAAUUGAAAGAUAGAUCCUUUAUUAUUAUUGAACCCAAGUAGAGGAAGCCACGCGUCUUGUUUGGCACAUCCAAGUUUUUACACUUUUGUUCCAAUAUGAUAUGCAGUGUGGAUUAUAGGCCCCAAUAAUGGGGGAUGCUUUGUGGAUGGACUACUGACGAUUAUAAUAUAUUUGGGUGCUCCUGUCGGCGAGA